UACGGAGGGGGCUAGCGUUGUUCGGAAUUACUGGGCGUAAAGCGCGCGUAGGCGGAUCUGCAAGUCGGGGGUGAAAUCCCGAGGCUCAACCUCGGAACUGCCUUCGAUACUGCGGGUCUCGAGUCCGGGAGAGGUGAGUGGAAUUCCUAGUGUAGAGGUGAAAUUCGUAGAUAUUAGGAAGAACACCAGUGGCGAAGGCGGCUCACUGGCCCGGUACUGACGCUGAGGCGCGAAGGCCAGGGGAGCAAACGGG
Molecule: ribosomal RNA, 253 nt
Filed under: uncultured bacterium
Lineage: Bacteria
Description: partial 16S ribosomal RNA
Rfam family: Bacterial small subunit ribosomal RNA
Source: RNAcentral